This 1112-nucleotide ribosomal RNA is filed under the name Elizabethkingia meningoseptica. RNAcentral describes it as "partial 16S ribosomal RNA". It matches the Rfam family "Bacterial small subunit ribosomal RNA". The record is from RNAcentral. Lineage: Bacteria; Pseudomonadati; Bacteroidota; Flavobacteriia; Flavobacteriales; Weeksellaceae.
AACGGGGUGCGGUCCUAUCGUGCAGCCGAGCGGUAGAUUACUUUCGGGUAUUGAGAGCGGCGUACGGGUGCGCGCACGUGUGCUCCUGCCUUGAUCAGGGGGAUAGCCUUUCGAGAGGAAUAUUAUACCCCAUAAUAUAUUAUUCGCUUUCGGGUGAUAUUGAAAACUACAGUGGAGGUUGUGGGCACGCGCAAAAUUAGCUAGUUGGUGAGGUUCGGCUCACCAAGGCAACGAUCUUUACGGGGCCUGAAAGGGUGAUCCCCCACACUGGUACUGAGCCACGCACCAUUCUCUUCAGGCGGCAGCCGUGAGGGGUAUUGGUCGCUGGGUGGAAGCCUGAUCCAUCCAUCCCUCGUGCAGGAAUAAGGACCGACGACUUGUAAACUGCUUUUAUCUGGGGAUAAACCUACUUACUGGUUAAUAACUGAAGGUACUGAAAUAACACGCACCGGAUAACUCCGUGCCAUCCGCCGCGGUAACACCGAGGGUGCAGACGGUAUCCGGAUUUAUUGGAUUUAAAGGGUCCAUAGGCCAACUGAUAAGUCUGUGAUGAAAUACGACAGCUUACCUGUCUCACUGCCAUUGAUGCUGUCAAAUCUUGACAAAGGUUAAUCUUGGCUGAGAAGAAGUAGAAUUCCCGGUGAAAUGACAGAUUUGGAAAUAGAUCAUUUUUGGGACAGUUUUCAAGGUGCUGCAUGGUUGUCGUCAGGUGAAACCGUGAGGUAAGAGGUUAAAUCAUGCCAAGAGCUCAACCCCUGUCACUAGUUGUUAACCUUAAGUUGAAGGGUGUAGUGCGGUGAUAUACGCAAGGAGAGAGGAAGGUGGGGCAGAUGUUCAAUCACCUUGGGCCCUGGGUUUUGGGCCACACACGUGGUACCAUGCACGGUGCAGAGGCCAGGUGCGUACAAAUAGGAUUCAAAUCUCGAAAGCCAGUCUCAGUUCGGAUUGGAGUCUGCAACUCCAUGAAGUGAAGCUGGAUUGUAAUGUUAUAUCGCAUCAGCCAGGGCGCGGUGAAUACGUUCCCUGGCACGUCCCCACCCACCCCAAGCCAUGGAAUGCAAAAGAACUGAAAUCGGAACUUUAAGGAGAGCCGUUUAUCUAAAAAUUCCUUG